GAUGAACGCUGGCGGCGUGCCUAAUACAUGCAAGUCGAGCGAACGGACGAGAAGCUUGCUUCUCUGAUGUUAGCGGCGGACGGGUGAGUAACACGUGGAUAACCUACCUAUAAGACUGGGAUAACUUCGGGAAACCGGAGCUAAUACCGGAUAAUAUUUUGAACCGCAUGGUUCAAAAGUGAAAGACGGUCUUGCUGUCACUUAUAGAUGGAUCCGCGCUGCAUUAGCUAGUUGGUAAGGUAACGGCUUACCAAGGCAACGAUGCAUAGCCGACCUGAGAGGGUGAUCGGCCACACUGGAACUGAGACACGGUCCAGACUCCUACGGGAGGCAGCAGUAGGGAAUCUUCCGCAAUGGGCGAAAGCCUGACGGAGCAACGCCGCGUGAGUGAUGAAGGUCUUCGGAUCGUAAAACUCUGUUAUUAGGGAAGAACAUAUGUGUAAGUAACUGUGCACAUCUUGACGGUACCUAAUCAGAAAGCCACGGCUAACUACGUGCCAGCAGCCGCGGUAAUACGUAGGUGGCAAGCGUUAUCCGGAAUUAUUGGGCGUAAAGCGCGCGUANGCGGUUUUUUAAGUCUGAUGUGAAAGCCCACGGCUCAACCGUGGAGGGUCAUUGGAAACUGGAAAACUUGAGUGCAGAAGAGGAAAGUGGAAUUCCAUGUGUAGCGGUGAAAUGCGCAGAGAUAUGGAGGAACACCAGUGGCGAAGGCGACUUUCUGGUCUGUAACUGACGCUGAUGUGCGAAAGCGUGGGGAUCAAACAGGAUUAGAUACCCUGGUAGUCCACGCCGUAAACGAUGAGUGCUAAGUGUUAGGGGGUUUCCGCCCCUUAGUGCUGCAGCUAACGCAUUAAGCACUCCGCCUGGGGAGUACGACCGCAAGGUUGAAACUCAAAGGAAUUGACGGGGACCCGCACAAGCGGUGGAGCAUGUGGUUUAAUUCGAAGCAACGCGAAGAACCUUACCAAAUCUUGACAUCCUUUGACAACUCUAGAGAUAGAGCCUUCCCCUUCGGGGGACAAAGUGACAGGUGGUGCAUGGUUGUCGUCAGCUCGUGUCGUGAGAUGUUGGGUUAAGUCCCGCAACGAGCGCAACCCUUAAGCUUAGUUGCCAUCAUUAAGUUGGGCACUCUAAGUUGACUGCCGGUGACAAACCGGAGGAAGGUGGGGAUGACGUCAAAUCAUCAUGCCCCUUAUGAUUUGGGCUACACACGUGCUACAAUGGACAAUACAAAGGGCAGCGAAACCGCGAGGUCAAGCAAAUCCCAUAAAGUUGUUCUCAGUUCGGAUUGUAGUCUGCAACUCGACUAUAUGAAGCUGGAAUCGCUAGUAAUCGUAGAUCAGCAUGCUACGGUGAAUACGUUCCCGGGUCU
Molecule: ribosomal RNA, 1372 nt
Filed under: uncultured bacterium
Lineage: Bacteria
Description: bacterial SSU rRNA
Rfam family: Bacterial small subunit ribosomal RNA
Source: RNAcentral